Molecule: long non-coding RNA, 1112 nt
Organism: Ficedula albicollis (Collared flycatcher)
Lineage: Eukaryota; Metazoa; Chordata; Aves; Passeriformes; Muscicapidae
Exons: 8
Source: RefSeq, a predicted model, not a curated record
GGGGUGAUUGCACAGGGGCAAUGCUGUUAAUACAGCAUGAGACAUAUCUCUGGAUCCUGGGCCCCAGGUAGGGAUAUUUUGCGUAAGAUGUUCCUCACUGUCUUCAGAGAGUGGGAAAUGGUGUUGGGAGACGCGGGGCUGUGGCUGAGCGGCGUGGAUGAAGCUGUUGCCGUGAGGUUUGUGUGCCCUGUGGCCGUGUGCGGGGCGCUGCCAGCUCUGCCCUCACGCGCCCCGGCCGCGGGGCCGUGCGGCUCACAGAGAGCGCAGAGACCUCUGGAAAACAUCCUCAUCACUCAGCUCUGCCUAAGGGCUCCUUUGUGCCUCAGGGAACACUUCUUAGCCUCACCUGAGAACGUCUUUAAACCUUUUUCCUGGCAGUUGUUGUCCAAGCUAACGAAUUAUUGUGGAAUACAAACAGUUACAGGAGCGGCCUCGUGAGUUCGGCCUGUAUUUUCUGCUGACUGUGGGACUCUCCAGCCCUUCUUUGUAAAGCGAGAGGGCAGCAGUUGUGGGCUGAGAACCAAGUAAUUAUUUCCAGAAUGAAGGAGACUUGGCUACCUGUAAAGCCGUGAGUAAAGGUUGCUUUUGAGCUCUCUUUGUAAGUAAGACUGUCCAGCAGGAAAAAGAAAAACUGAAGUCAGAGCCAGAUUUCCAUGUGAGACAAUCCACCUGGAGAUCAUCUGCACUCCUCUGGAUGGAUAAACCUCACUGAAAUCAGUGCUCUGAGACUGCAGGCACAGCUAUUGAGGACAGCCCAGAUGCAAGCCAGGUCUCGUUUCCAAAGCAUAGAGUGGAUUAAAAGUUAAGCAUCAUCAGAGAGCUGAAGACGAGUUGUAAGCAAAUUGGAUUGAAGGAGCUCUCCUUGCCCUUGUUUCCAAUUCCAGCAUCUGUUCAGUAAAGUACAACCAAAAAGAAGAUCUGGAAAUCUGAAAAUAUGGAAGCAGAAUAACAAUCCAGCAAAGAAUGGUUUCCUGCUGCCUCCCAAGCGUUCUAAAGUGACUUAAAGGAAAAGAUUCAUCAAGAAGGGGAAGCAACCAAGAUGAUACGGUGUCAGAGCAGCUGAGACCAGAAGCAUGAAGGCUGAGAUACCAUGAGAACGGCUGUUCUUGCAA